RNAcentral lists this ribosomal RNA (253 nucleotides) under uncultured bacterium. RNAcentral's name for it is "partial 16S ribosomal RNA". It matches the Rfam family "Bacterial small subunit ribosomal RNA", at positions 524 to 776 of the family's 1533-position model. The record is from RNAcentral.
UACGUAGGGCGCAAGCGUUGUCCGGAAUCAUUGGGCGUAAAGAGCUCGUAGGCGGCCUGUUGCGUCCGCUGUGAAAUCCCGGGGCUUAACCCCGGGCGUUCAGUGGAUACGGGCUGGCUGGAGGCAGGCAGGGGAGAACGGAAUUCCCGGUGUAGCGGUGAAAUGCGCAGAUAUCGGGAGGAGCACCGGUGGCGAAGGCGGUUCUCUGGGCCUGUACUGACGCUGAGGAGCGAAAGCGUGGGGAGCGAACAGG